RNAcentral lists this ribosomal RNA (464 nucleotides) under uncultured bacterium. RNAcentral's name for it is "partial 16S ribosomal RNA". It matches the Rfam family "Bacterial small subunit ribosomal RNA", at positions 338 to 795 of the family's 1533-position model. The record is from RNAcentral.
CCUACGGGAGGCAGCAGUAGGGAAUUUUCGUCAAUGGGCGCAAGCCUGAACGAGCAAUGCCGCGUGAACGAGGAAGGUCUUCGGAUCGUAAAGUUCUGUUGAAGGGGAAAAAGAGCGGAGAGAGGAAAUGGUCUCCGAUUGAUAUUACCCUUCGAGGAAGUCACGGCUAACUACGUGCCAGCAGCCGCGGUAAUACGUAGGUGGCGAACGUUAUCCGGAAUGAUUGGGCGUAAAGGGUGCGUAGGCGGCCUGCUAAGUCUGGAGUGAAAGGUACCGGCUCAACCGGUACAGGCUCUGGAAACUGGCGGGCUAGAGAGAAGGAGAGGGCGGUGGAACUCCAUGUGGAGCGGUAAAAUGCGUAGAUAUAUGGAAGAACACCAGUGGCGAAGGCGGCCGCCUGGCCUGUUACUGACGCUGAGGCACGAAAGCGUGGGGAGCAAAUAGGAUUAGAUACCCCUGUAGUC